Molecule: non-coding RNA, 76 nt
Organism: Phalaenopsis equestris
Lineage: Eukaryota; Viridiplantae; Streptophyta; Magnoliopsida; Asparagales; Orchidaceae
Source: the annotation of a RefSeq genome assembly
GCCCGUCUAGCUCAGUAGGUAGAGCGCAAGGCUCUUAACCUUGUGGUCGUGGGUUGUUCGAGCCCCACGGUGGGCG